CACCACUCAUCUAAAAGCAAACGUUUUCCUGACCUCACCUGAUGAGCUGGCCAGGCUGAGGGGCACCUGCUGGACCUCGGACACCCGCAGACGUGCACGCUCAGCCCCAGCCUCCCCUGGGGACCAGAGCCCCCGCCCGGCAAACAGGCAUCCAGUCCUUCCUCCAGCAGGUGGUCUGUGUCCACAAGGCCAGCGCUCAUGACCACGACUCGAAGGGGUCCGCGUGCGCUGCCUCUCCCAGCUCGCCGGCGAGAUGAGCCUCCAGAGACACAGGGAUCUCAAGAGAAGGGUUUGGGGACGACACGAGAGUUCCGAGCAGGAGCAGGCUGAGGCAAAAUGAAGCUCUGACUGACACCAGCGCGGCCUGGAGGAGUGAAUCCAUGGUGCUGGAAGCCUCCACGGACUUGACCUUGCUGCUCAAGUAAUCGGGAUGCGUUUGCGCCGUUUCAAGAAAUAAAAGAAGGAAGAAAGUUCGAGA
Long non-coding RNA from Felis catus (domestic cat), 478 nucleotides. RefSeq lists it as uncharacterized. Lineage: Eukaryota; Metazoa; Chordata; Mammalia; Carnivora; Felidae. The record is from RefSeq and is a predicted model, not a curated record. The transcript is spliced from 2 exons.